Molecule: non-coding RNA, 85 nt
Organism: Felis catus (domestic cat)
Lineage: Eukaryota; Metazoa; Chordata; Mammalia; Carnivora; Felidae
Source: Rfam
GCCUGGGUGGCUCAGAUGGUUAGGCGUCCGACUUCAGCUCAGGUCAUGAUCUCAUGGUUCAUGGGUUCGAGUCCCAUGUCGGGCU